GCCGGCGGCGCCGCCUCCCCGACCCCAGCGGCCCCUCGGCCGCCAGCUCGAGUACUUCCGUACCGGUGCCGGGACUGGGCUCCCUUGCUCCAGUACCCCUGGCUGGAGCAAGGGCGCCCUCCGCUUACGUCCUGAGUAACCGGCCUCUUCCUCUCAGCGGCGCGAUGGUCGCACCGAGUUAAGAUCCCCGUCGGGAAGCGCUGGGUUUGCCCGUGGUGCCCUGCUUGGAGUAGCCCUGUCUAGCACUGUUGAAGUCAGUCAUGGCUGUUGUCGUCCUUCCUGGACUGGAUUCACUGAAGGGCAAAAUUCAGCAUCCCCCUAGACACAAAUUCCUCCCACCAUGAGCAGGGAUGGGGUUUGAAUGGCCUACUGCAUCGUGCUUUUAUGUGGUCCCACACACCUGCUCUUUUUAUCCAUCUUUUCUUCCAUUUUUCCUACUGUUCACUUGUUUCUUCCCUAAAACCUGACUUGGUAGGUAGGGGUUUGUGAUUUGUGUUCAUGUUGUUUAUUCUUUUUUAUUCUUAUUAGUUCAUAAGGAGUGCCAAGAGCAGUUUCACAUCUACAGAAAACCUGUUCCUGCCUUGCAAGUAGCUUGAAGAGCAUCAGGGAGAUGGUGGCGUGGAAGGGAAGUAACAGAGGUAUGUAGACAUGUUCUGUGUUUUAUUUGCUGACACCAUCUGAGGAUGAGUGGGCUUAUGAAAGAGCCUGGAAAGCCGAGCCUUUGUCGAUGAAUCAUGGGAGGUUGUGUCACCGUAAGAGGAUGAGGUGGAGAAAUGAUUGAAGGGUAUGUGGUUGAGAAAUACUGCUGGAGUGCAGAAGUGGUGGGGACAACACGGGUCUCAACAGAAGAGGAGUAGACUGGGGGAAUGCAGUUAGGUUGGGCCUUGAAGUAGGACAGUAGGUGAAAAACAAGUGGAGGGCUGCUAAGGAGUAAGUGACGUGGUCAGGUUUGUGAGAGGUGUUUGAUCUUCCUCAGGUUGCAAAGGAGCAUUUUAUGUUUGGAGUAUAGAGAAAAGAACUUUGCAGUAGUUGUGGUAGGGUAUACCAAAGAGGCCUAAACAGCAGAUUUGCCUAUGAAAACGAUGAUUGGUCUUGAAGCUGGAGGGGUAGAAUGAAGGCCCAGGAUAUGUGUGUGACUCAUGGGAAAGGGAGGGGGGAUAGUGGAAAUGGGGUAUGUUAUUGCUGCCAGUAGUGAAGGAGAAAAGGGAAAGUGAAGCUAAACCAACACAACCUUGUACCUCAGCAAGCAUAUAUUGAUGACAAAAUCUCCAGGAAGAGAUGCCAGGCAGAGGCAGAAAGGUUGAUGACAGAGGGGGAAAUAUGAGAAUCACAAGCACAGAAAUGCUAUCUAAAAUCCUUGAGAACUGCCAGACAGAGGGCAGAAAGGGAAGUGAGGGCAGGUCUGUGAACUCAAGCCUGGUAUUAAGAAAGGAAAAGAGAAUGAUGACUCAUUGACAGAAAUAACACAAGUGAACAUUAUUUGUAAUCGUAGUAAGUACUACUUCUGAUAGUAACAGAUCUAAGGAUCAACAGGAAAGCACUGUAGGGUAGGUUCUGAGAGUUACAAAGGCUGAGGAAGGCAGGUGACCCAGGAAAGAAUUUUAAGGACUUGUGAAUCCUAGGCCAAUGUGUCCUUCAUGUCACAUCCACAGCUGUAGAGGCUAUUUCCCAGGUUUUCAGCUCCUGCCUUCUGUAUUGCCUUAUUCCACAUCAGUGACUUAUCCACGCCAUAAUACAGGACCUUAGAAGUCAUCUGAAAGUAUAUGUUAAAACCAGCAAGCUUGUUUAAAGGUAGUUUUCACAGGCUUGGGUGAGAAGGCCAUGCUUAAGUGACCUGUGAGGUUUCUUUGAACAUACUAAGGCUGUAAUUGAUAAAGGAGCAGUUGGUAGGCAUGGAAGAGUUGGAUAGUUCAAAACACAUGUGAGAGGGCCUCAGGGCAGAGACUGAUCAUCAAACAGAAACUGUGAGAUCCAGAGCAAGACAGCUGCUGAAAUGGGAAGCUCUCUUAGAAAUACAAAUUGAAAUAUGAAAUUCAUACAUUAUUUUGAUGUGGAAAAUGAAAGAUAACUUUGUGUUUGAAGCUUACCUUGAGGUUUGAGAGAGGAGCAUGUUAGAAAAAUAAUAUACUUAUUAAACAAGGAUCCUGACACAACAUAACUGCACCGGAAGAUACAAAGACUGUUUUGCACUGUAGAUUACAGCAUGAUUUGCAUUUGUUUAAUUAGUUAGUGGUAGUUGAUACCACCAGAUAGGCAGUUCCUGAUUUAUACAUAACGAAUAUUUUAAGUCAGCCCAGCAGGUGCUGUGUAUCAGCAAAGUUUUGCUUUAAGCCUGCCAUACAGUGACAUAAAAUUCUGGUUUAGUUAAAAAAAAAAAAAAUAAUCCAUAAUUGCUAAUGUUUGGACUAUGGUAGACAAAACACACCAAAUAAUUUUCAAAGAUCUAAUUUAUGGGUAAAAAGUUUUCACAGAAGUUUGGUUAAUCCCAAACUGUAUAGUGGUACUUCUACUCCCUUAGUCCUAUGGAAAAAUAACAAUAUUACAACUAUUUUUUUUCUGGUUUAUAGUUGACAUUUUUAAAGAUUCUUUUUGGUUGCAGAAUCUGCUUAAGCAGAUUUGAUAUCUUAAGCUAUAAGCUUCCAUCUUCAUGUGCUGGGAUGCCGAAGGAUCUCCCCUCACUCUACAAAGAAUUCCAAGGCUAUAAUGGAUACAUACCCCCCGUGUACGUGAGCUGAAUGUACAGAUUAGCUUGCCCCAGUCAGCCAUAACCCAUGUUCAGUCUUUUUGGUUUCAGCAUAGCUGUGUGUCUCCUCUAUGCUUUUAGACUUAGACACAAUACAGUAACUUGAAGAGGCAAGACCAUGCUUUUGGUCACUCAUGCAAUGCCAUUGACUUCAGUGGAGUUAAAGAAUGAAUGAAAUUAAAGAAUGACUAAAAGGUUAGAUCCCUUAUCAAUGAACUGAGCAGUCUUUUCUGUACUUCCCUGAUGAGUGUCUUCUCUACAUUGGGAAGGGAAGUUAAGCAGGAAAGACUUAAUGCGAAGGCCAAUGUGUAAGUCCAGGGGUUAUCUACUUUUUUUCUGUGAUAUCUAUUGUCAUUUUAAGUUAUGAAGGCUGAGGAAAGCAGGUGACCCAGGAAAGAGAUUUAAGGACAUGUAAAUCCUAGGCCAGUGGAUCUUUCUGGUCACAUUCACAACGAUAGAAGCUCUAAGCUUACUAAGUUUUACUUGCUAAAAAGAAUUAAACCAAGCGGUAGUUCUUGGACACCUCUGUGGGAGGCGUGGAGUUGGUAGGUUGUUCAAAUAGUUCACAGUCUGAAAAAGGAUUCUGGUGCAGCAGCAGCAAGUGAUGUUAUUAGAAAUUCUUAAAUGUAUUGGAAAACAUUGGCCUUGGAAUUACAUCUUAUCUCCUAAGCUAAUUCUCACAACUGGUGAGAGAUUUUGAUGAUCAUCCACCUUGAGCUGGGCUGACCAAAACCUGGCACAAGCUGUAGAGUUUAGAAAGGCCUUUCUAAAGGCCUCCUUUGUGGGAGCUUUCAGAGAGGCCAGUUGCACAGCUACUACCCAGGAGAGUAUAUAUGCACUUUUAGCAGUCCUGUUAGAGUCAUUGGGUCUACUUAUAACCUUAGCUGUUCUUCUAAGUCAACACUUUUAAUGAUGACAGUGAAAGAAUAGCUUUAAGCCAUAGAUCUAUUUUAGUUUCUAAACUACUGCGUAGCAGAAAAAUAAAGUGAGUCCUCUUACUAAUUUUAUCAGUCGUGUUAGGUCACUCCACUCUCUCCUGUGUUCUGAUGACACAGGAAGAGUAAGUCCUUCUUUCACCUCUGUAUCUGGUUUCCUGGGAUCACCUUUGUUGCCUUAUGCUUCAGAGUAAUAAUAUACAAUGAAAGGUAGGUUGUCUUUCAGACAGAAGUCUAAAUUAUGUCUGCAAAGAAAAAAAUAGCUUGUGGGUUCACUUGCUAUUCAUUUGUUAAUCCCCCUGCUCUCUGCUUACUGCUUUAGCUAAGAACUGCAGUGAUUUCUAAUCUAACUCCCAAGGAGCUUUCUUCUCAGUGUGGGAGAUGACUGAGUGUAUAUUCCCUAAUAUUCCUAAAUUUAGUAACUUGUAACUUUGGAGUGAUUUUUUUUUCCUAUGAAGACAUUUUACCGCUUAUGGAAGAUGCUGGAUUAACAGAUCAAAAUCACAGACUGUUGUAUAGGCACAGAAAGCGCAUAGGGAAGCUUUGUUGUAGGUUUUGAGGCUUCACUAGUAUACCAAGAUUAUCUCAUUCUGCACACCACUUUAGCCUUUCAUUUACUGAGGUUUCUAGUGAGGAUACCAACAAAGGUGACAACUAAUGAACCAUUCACUCCUGAAAUUUAAACCUAGGUCUGAAUUCAUCAUCCAGUUUAUAUUCAAAGAAAAGGGUUAUUAUGUAAAACUUGUUGCUCAAUCCUAACAAAUGCAACAGCAUAAAGAGGGACAAGAGAUGUUCGGAGAACCUGUGACUUUGCGUGCAACUGGGGAGCACAUCCAAAAUGUUUUAAAGCUGGAGGAACGUGAGAGGGAGAGACCUAUUUGUAACAGUUACAAUCUCAAAACAAAAGGCAGCUACCGCUGGAACACCACUUUUGCAAUGCUUGAAUGCUAGAAUUCAGCCUGUGCUCUCUUGUAUCAAAUUCAUGACAACUUAACAGUAUUUCAGUGCAGUUCUUUAUCAGUUUUAGAUUACAUCAUGCUGUGAAUUGCUCUAUCUGUUAAUAUUGAUUCACGUAAAUCAUUUGGUUUGAGGUCUUCAAAUGGGAAGUUGAGGUGCAUUUCAGGGUACAAUGUACUCAUUUUGUCCUUGAAAAUCAUUUAGAAAAAAAAGCAAGCUGCAGUUGCAUAGAUUAUAUUACUUUUCUGAAAGGUUAGAUUUACCCCUUAGAACUGUCAAUAGUGGGACAAAAGCCUUCCAUUGAAAGAAUGAGAAUAGAGGAGAAAACUGUUGGUGCUUAAAGUUGAUUGAGGGAGUCACAGAAGUGCUGCAGGUCUCAAGGGCUGUGUAGCCCAAAGCCUGAUUCAAAGAAGUCAUGCUGUUUUUAAUGAGAGCAGCUAGAGCAGCAGAAGUGAUAACUGAAUUCUAGUUCCUGAACUUUAAUCUAGAUCUAGCUAGGGUUUUUUUUCUUAAUUACCUAAGUUUUGCUUGAAUAUCUCCUUCAUUUUUAUGUAUGUUCUUCAACUGUUGCAUGGCUUUGCUGUGAGCUGAGAAACAUCUACUAUGCUCUGUCUGCUGGGCUGCAUUUUGUUCUCCAUCCAUUUGCACUGGGCUAGCAUUUGUGAGUGAAGGUUCUUUUUGUUUUGCAAAUCCUUUAUAAUCCCUCAGAAAUAGUGCUGGUGUAGAAAUAUCAGUGUUACACAGAUGCAUAUCAAACUGUGAUAAAUGGAAGUUGCACUGGAAAAAAAAUGGAAGUAAUAUUGUUGUAUGUUAGUGAUUAUCAUUGGUCUUUACUCCACUAAGAAGCUCCCAUCUGAAUAUGCUUGGUUUUGCUGAAAUUUUAUGGGAGUUGGAGCUGAGUAAAUGUGAUGACUAGAUUGGUGCACCUGAGCAAGGCAAGGUGUUGGCAGAAUUGUCCUGCUGCUUGCUAAAGGACUAUGAAGGUUUCUUGUAGGGAAACUGCCUUUCCUGUACAGAAAGAAAAGAUUGCUCCUUCCUGGCAAGAGGGACACUGUUAUUACUUCUCCAGCCUACUCUGAGUUUGCACUAGUGACUGAAAUGUUCCCAGACAAGCAGAUGGGAAAAUAGCCUGUAAAUCAUUAUUGUUAUAAAUGGUUUGUAAAACUUUGGAUGUUGAGAGGUAAGAGUAGUUCAAAUAAGGGUUGGGAAUAAUGAGGAAGCAGAGAAAGAUUGAAGUAGCACAAGAUGUUUAGAGUUGGCCAAGAAGAAAUCGGACUAAGCAGAACCAUUCAAGAAGGAGCAGAUGGAAACAGUUGCCAGCAGAUGAGUACUGGAAAAGAUUCAAGCCACAGUACUUGCUGGAACUUGGGAGUUUGUGAUGGCCUGAGCUAAACCAAUGACAGGUAUCUAAGAUUUGAAACCAGA
This is a long non-coding RNA of Pezoporus flaviventris, 6060 nucleotides long. RefSeq lists it as uncharacterized. The transcript has 4 exons. The record is from RefSeq and is a predicted model, not a curated record. Lineage: Eukaryota; Metazoa; Chordata; Aves; Psittaciformes; Psittacidae.